Molecule: small nuclear RNA, 107 nt
Filed under: Panthera tigris altaica (Amur tiger)
Lineage: Eukaryota; Metazoa; Chordata; Mammalia; Carnivora; Felidae
Source: RNAcentral
GGGCUUGCUCCGGCAGCACAUAUACUAAAAUUGGAAGGAUACAGAGAAGAUUAGCACAGCCCCUGUGCAAGGAUGACACACAAAUUCGUGAAGCUUCCAUAUUUUUA